This 450-nucleotide ribosomal RNA is filed under the name uncultured bacterium. RNAcentral describes it as "bacterial SSU rRNA". It matches the Rfam family "Bacterial small subunit ribosomal RNA", at positions 354 to 796 of the family's 1533-position model. The record is from RNAcentral.
GUGGGGAAUUUUGCGCAAUGGGGGGAACCCUGACGCAGCAACGCCGCGUGAGUGACGACGCCCUUCGGGGUGUAAAGCUCUGUUGGUGGGGACGAAGACCUGGCUGUGAAGAGCGGUUGGGGAUGACGGUACCUGCUGAGGAAGCCCCGGCCAACUCCGUGCCAGCAGCCGCGGUAAGACGGAGGGGGCGAGCGUUGUUCGGAAUUACUGGGCGUAAAGCGCCCGUAGGCGGUUGAUUACGUGGGCAGUGAAAGCCCUGGGCUUAACUCAGGCCGGGCUGUUCAAACGGAUUGACUGGAGUGCCGGAGGGGGAGGCGGAAUGCCUGGUGGAGCGGUGAAAUGCGUAGAGAUCAGGCAGAACGUCGGUGGCGAAGGCGGCCUCCUGGACGGACACUGACGCUGAGGGGCGACAGCGUGGGGAGCGAACGGGAUUAGAUACCCCUGUAGUCC